UCUCUCUUCCUCGUCUGUUUCUCUCUUUACUGUUCUUCCUUCUCUUUCUCUAUUUCCUCUGUUCUUUUUGAAAAUUAGAGCUUGGGAUAAGGCAGAUCAAGGACUUGAAAAUCAAGUAAACUUGGGAUAAGGUAGAUCAGAGACGGUGGACGUUAUGUAGUUCUCCGUGAAAAUCAAUUUUUUCUCUCUGUCUCUAUCUUCCUCUCCUGUUUGGACUGUUUCUCUCCAUGUUCUUCACUUCUUCUUUUUUCAAUUACUAAUCAAUCAUCCUAGCGACCUAGCCACCUAGUCCUCUUUUUAGAGACCAUUUUAUACCCAGCGAUUUCCGGAUUCGCUGCACUUUUCAGAAACCUAAAUCCCAUUAUCAAAAACAAACAUCUAUCUUCUCAUCAUUUUAAGCUCGCUUCGUAAUCUUUUGUGUUUGAAGCUGGACAAUAAUCCACUAAGACAGGUGAAUACAUGCAACUGAUACCAUCAGAUGAUGGAUUCCAAGCAACCCCUAUGCUUCAGAUUCUGGAUCUAAGUGGUAAUGCAGCUUCGUCACUAGAGCACCCUAUAUUUUCUAGCUUACAGUAUCUGCAAGAGCUUUAUCUGAGACGAAUGCAGCUACACGAAGUCCCAUCAGAUAUCUUGAGUUUGCAGCAACUGCGGAUCCUAGACUUCAGCCAAAAUUCCUUGCAGUCGGUUCCAGUGGUUAUAUUCAACGUUCUUAAAUCAUGUAUGUACAUACCACCUAUAUCACAUACCGCCAAGCAUAAGCAACGACCUCGUAGGUGGGCCCCACGACAUGGUAGGUCCCGCCUACGACAUGCAUCCCGGAGACCGACACUCGAGCUACCUCGCCAUGGUGAAGGUCGACCGGUAUCUUGCCAAGAGGCCACUCUCCCAUGCUCUCCAAGGAGGCUUCAAGAGAAGCAAUAUGUGUAUUGUAUCCCACAAUGGAAAUAUAGAAUAGAUGGGGACUUCCUUUAGCUAUAUAAGGAAGUCAUCCCCUUCUUCGAAGAUGAUGGAUCCAUGAUCCCUAUACUUGUAUCACUACAAAGGUCACUUGACCUCACUCAUAGUAAAAUAUCUAAGUGGACGUAGCCUUGCCUCAAGGGCAAGGUGAACCACUAUACAUGCUUGUGUCUCCCUCUCUCUCUCUCUCCCCAUCAUGAUCCAUGCUUAGUUCCUGUUCCGUAUUCUCACACAGAAAUAUUGGCGCUAGAAGAGGGCCCCUAGGAGUUAGGGUACGAGCCUCCGACCUUGAGUAAGGGUCAUGUACGGGUACCAUGAGCUUCCGGGUACAUGGGUACAUGCAGGACACCCCACCCUCAACCUCACCCAAGCCUUCGAGUCAUCCGGUACUAUGAGCCAUCCGGUACUUGAGCCAUCGGGUACAUGAGUCACCCUCUACUCCCAAGCUCCACUCUUCUCCGGGACUCAUGAGUAGGCGGGUACGUGCAGGACCCCGCACCCUCAUCGCUCAUCACUGAUGUCACUUCUACCACCACCAAGGUCCAAUUUCUGUAGUACCCGACCGGGACUCGUUGAGAAGAUCCCGCUCUUGGUCUUCUUCCAAUAUCCAAUUUAUCUGGCGACUCUGGUGAAGAUAAAUUUUCGAGCAGUAAUCUCAUCAACUCAUUGGCAAGCGCGGUAGCAGCUUGCUCACCUCUUCUCGGUAAUCCCCAGAUGAGAAAUCCUCCAUGCACACCCAUACUGUGGUGGCUUCUUUUCUUCACCUCUCGGAGACUAAGCCUUGCAUGCUUGGUAAGCCAUCUCCCCGACCGGGACCUUCAAUAACUCAAUUCUCUCAAGCAUCAAAGGUGAUUCUGCUCAGGGCACCCGGGAAGGUUUGGACACCCAACCCACCCCGGUGAUCAUCACCACUAUCUCGGUGACCCCUCACCGGCAACACCGUCCCGGCGACACCACCACUUCCCAGCAACUGGUACUCGGUAAGUCUACGUACCGGUACCCUUCAUCCCAUACCGCGAGCCCUUCAUCACCGGGUACCGAUGUCAAUGAGUUCUUAAGGCCCAUACCGGCACCCAGUACCCCAGUACCCGGUAACCUCACUUUCUGCUUCUAAACGCACGAACUCUGGUACCCGGAAGUGGAACUUCACCUCGACGAUCCUCGAACAGCCUCCUGUCUCAUGCACACCGGUAAGAACUCAGCAGCUUGCUCACCGGCAGUCUCAGGCUUCAAGCCACCGAUAUCCCUGUUGAUAUCUCUGUUUCCGGGAACUCAACGUGUUUCCAGCACCCAAUAAUCUUCUCUUGGCAUCCGUGAACCGCCAGAACGUUGUUUGCUGCAUACCAAAAUGCUCUCUUUACACCCAAACAUCCUCUUUGGACACCCAGUUGCUACUAUCUCUCUGUACCGGGCACAAAAUGAAUUCUCAAGAGGCUCCCAAAUCCACUGUGCAUUGCUCCCAGCAGCAAUCGUCAACAAGCAAGUAGGAGCUAAGUUCUCGUACUCUUGUUACUUCGCACAGUCAUCAGUAACAACUAAUCAUGUGCCUAUAUCUGUUCGCUGCUCCUUGUGCAUUUACUGCAGUUUCUCUUCCAAAACUGGACACAUGGCUAAUGCUUUCUUUGUUAGCUAAGAGUACUUUCGGUGUAUUCAUUUUACAUUUUAAUCCCUCACCAAGUGCAAGCUGCAUUGCUCACCACGCGUAGCUCUUCAAGUACAAGCUGCUAUGUAUAUGUGUCUUCUUAUGCAGAGACUUGGCACAUGAGAAUACUGACAUCUCAUGAAUUUUCAAAGUAAACUGUCAAAAGAGUACUUGGUCAUCUUACAUAGAUGCCACGUUUUGUCUUCAUCUCUGCAUAGUUUACUCACACAUCUUGCAAUCACUUAGAAGUAUGCAUGUGCAGUAUGGGGAUAUUAUGAUCCCAACGAGCUCUUAUAAGCAUGAUAAUCUUUGCCUCUCUGUGCCACGUCUCAUGCAAGGGUACAUCCAUGCACACCUACAUGCUUUCUUUAUUCUUACACAUGCAAAAUGGCUUCAGUAGGGACACCCCCACUUGCUCCAUUCUUAUAUUAUCACAGGCUUCCUCUUGUUUCAUGUUGGUACACAGUUUGGGACCAUCUAUGUCUCUUGCACACUACAAAUUUUUGGGCAUGAUUUUCAAUUAUUAGAGCACAUAUAGUCCAACACUACAACUCAUAAAUUGAUUCAAUGUACUUUCUCCAUGCUCAAUUAUACAUGAACAUGUGUUCCUUGUUAGUUUCUCAUACUGAUGGUUAUCACCAUAAUCAAUUCUCUCUGCCUAUACGUGUUGCCUACACAUGCUGUACCACCACACUUUGACUCAUAAUUAAUACUGUGCCCCAUGGCCAUGCUUAUCUCAUCUUUUCAUUUCAAGGUUCGUCAUUUCCAUACUUACAUCGGCAAUUUAAUCCCUCAUGCUAUGAAAAUUAAUUCAAAGGACCAUUAUAUCUCUCAUACCAUAUCAGAGUAUAAAGCAAAAUCUAUGUGAUUCAUCAAUUAAAGUAUAUAAGUUGCUAAUCACUUAUUAUGUUGUCCCUUUGGAGGAAGCAAAAUCGCUCUCAAUCGGGCAUUUUCUUGUGCAUACAAGGCCAUGAAGCGUCAUGCUUGGACGACAACUCCAACAUGAUUUAGUUUUCGGGUCAAUCCCAUUUGUCACCUCCUCCAAACGGCACAAGAUAAGUUUUAUUUUACGCUCUUUUAAGUUUGAGCUAAUACAAAUGUCUUACAUGCUUCAAUAACGAUUUCUAUAGUCUAAAAAUAUGCCUACAACAUUUGAUACUUUCAAUAGCAUAUUCAUUGUGCCUAUUUAUUAAUUUCAUGCUUUAAUUUAAUUGCCCGUCAAUUACAAUUACUACAUGCAUACAUACGGCACUUUUAAUGCGGCACUUGAAAAUCCUUGCCCCGAGCGAGGUACCCCAACGGGGUUACGAGACCAAUGCCAUCAUUCUACCCGGGGCCAUGCCACCGGGUACCGGGGCCCAAGGCCACCGGUUACCCCAACGGGGUUACAUCAUUCUACCCGGGGUCACACCACCGAGUAAAGGAGGCCUACCGGCCCUCAUUCAACCCCAUUGGGUUAAGGAGGCUCAAGCCCUCAUCUACCCCAACAGGGUUACGAGGCUCAAACCCUCAUUCGAUCCCAAUGGGUCAAAGAGACCCAUAGCUCUCAAUCCCACCGGGAUCACGGGCUCACUCACCUCAUCGGGUACAUGAGGCUUCGAGCCUAUCUACUCCACUAGGUAUACGAGUCAGCCCAAACCUCAUUGGGUACCGGAGGCCCAAGGCCAGACACUUUCAUCGGGUACCGGAGGCCAACGCCACCAGGUACCCCCAUGGGGUUACGAGGCACAAUUCCUCAUCCUACCCGGAGCCACGCUACAGGGUACCGGAGGCGAAAGUCACAGGGUAAAGGAGGCCUACAAGCCCUCAUUCAACCCCAUUAGGUUAAGGAGGCUCAAGCCCUCACGUGACCCCACCGGGCCACGCUGUACAAGCCCUCAUGCUACCCUAUCGGGUACUAGAGGGAUCAAGCCCUCAUGCAACCCCAUCGGGUACGAGAGGCAUCAAGCCCUCACUCUACCCUAUCGGGUACUAGAGGCAUCAAGCCCUCAUGCCACCCUAUCGGGUACUAGAGGCAUCAAGCCAUGCUACCCCAUCGGGUACGAGAGGCAUCAAGCCCUCACUCUACCCCAAUGGGUACCAGAGUCGUUAUACACAAGGCCCACAUGCCCUCAUAAAUCCUCUACUCUAGCGAGGUAUCCCAACGGGAUAAUUAAAGGGUAGCCCGAGCGAGGUACCCCCAACGGGUAGCCCAAGGGUCAAUCCCUUGCUUCUGAGUCAUCUCACCUCCCGAGCAUUCUCUACACUUGGGGACUUAUUCAUACCACUUAUCACAAGUGGAGGUAGUACCCGACCGGGACUAUCAUUGAGCUUCACGCUUAUACCUAUCGUGCUAUGGUCUAUUAAUGGAAAUAUUGAAAUUUUUGACUUAUACGUCGUAUGUCAAACAUUACAUAAUAUGUGCAUACACACAUUGUGUAACAUGCAUCUCACAUAAACAUUCAUGCACCUCGAUGCAUUUGACUCAAAUGUCACUUAGAUUGCCCUAGCGCAAUCAAUAUGUAUUUUGUACACUCUUAUCUUAUUAUUUGCAGGUACUAGCGUGAUGAGGGCCCCGUGGCACCAACCUACCCGUAGAGUCCCUUCUUACUUACGGAGUUAGGGGACUAGUAUGGGUAUGGCGUUCAACAAGGUCAUCAUAUUUAAACUCCCCAACCAAGAAGCGCCUCUUACUCGGGGACUUGGGGGACUUGUACAUCCCACCUAUAUCACAUACCGCCAAGCAUAAGCAACGACCUCGUAGGUGGGCCCCACGACAUGGUAGGUCCCGCCUACGACAUGCAUCCCGGAGACCGACACCCGAGUGAUUACACGCAUUUCUAUGCAUGUAGUUGUAUCUAAAACACUAGAAGUAAGUGGAUCUCCAAGUCAAUUAUAAUGUAAUUAAUCUAUUGUUAUCUAUUUUGUAGGAAAUAUGCGGAGUUGUCGAUUUUGAAAGAAAAUGGCGCGAAAGGAGAGCAAUUCGUGAUUUUCGACAAAAUGACGAAAUUAGAAUGACUUAAUUAACCAAUAAGCAUGGAUUGAUUAAUCAGUUGAGCAUUUGGUUAAUUAGCCACUUACUUGAACAUGCAUGCACGUUUAUAACCAUUGAUUGGUCUAACCAAAUAUGAGCUUGGCAUGUGGCAAUUUUUCAUUCUAUUCACUUACCAUCAGAACAAUCUGUCACGUGCUCUCCUUUCAAUUAACCAAAGCUAUCAAUCUUACCCUCCUAUCCAACCACGUGUCCCAAUAUCCCAUUCACCUUUUCCUCCUCCACACGAAAUAGCCACCCAUUUAUCUCUUUCUCUCACAGAGUACCCAUAUUUUUAUAUCCUCUUCUCUUCAACCCAACAGCCGCACCAGACCACACCCAAAAACAGAGGCAGCCCCUUUGGGCUGCUCUCUCUCCUCUCCUCCUUCUCCUCCAUUUUUCAUAAUAGUUUUAGUUUUUUUUUGGGUAUCCAUAGAAUUUCUCACACAAGCUUCAAGGAUUCAUCAAAAGCUACAAGAUUCAAGCUUUAGGUAUUUGUGGGAGUUGUAAUUCAAGGGAAGUCAUAUUAGCUCCCUAGCUAAUUGUGGCUACCUUUGUGUUCUCCUACACUUCUAUAAUCUUUUCUCUUUGAAUUUUGUAUCUUUGAUGUUCAUAUUUAUGGGUUGUGAGUAAUUUUCUUGUUGGGUUUUAGGGUUGUGUCCCUAACCCAAAUUUUGUGUAAAAGAUGUUUAAUUUAAUGUAAUGAUGCAAUUUUCAUA
This is an RNA transcript of Rosa rugosa (rugosa rose), 6328 nucleotides long. It is a transcript of the gene named plant intracellular Ras-group-related LRR protein 6-like, with no coding region annotated. The transcript is spliced from 4 exons. The record is from RefSeq and is a predicted model, not a curated record. NCBI's taxonomy places the organism in Eukaryota, Viridiplantae, Streptophyta, Magnoliopsida, Rosales, Rosaceae.